This 46-nucleotide non-coding RNA is filed under the name Schistosoma curassoni. Lineage: Eukaryota; Metazoa; Platyhelminthes; Trematoda; Strigeidida; Schistosomatidae. The record is from RNAcentral.
GCACUACUGAAGAGUCCCAUACUAGGAUGAAACGGCCGUCCAGUGU